GCCAGGCAUGGUGGCGCAUGCCUGUAGUCCCAGCUACUUGGGAGGCUGAGGCAGGAGAAUUGUUUGAACCCGGGAGGUGAAGGUAGCAGUGAGCUGAGAUGGCACCACUGCAAUCCAGCCUGGGUGACAGAGUGAGACUCUGUCUCAA
Molecule: non-coding RNA, 148 nt
Filed under: Nomascus leucogenys (northern white-cheeked gibbon)
Lineage: Eukaryota; Metazoa; Chordata; Mammalia; Primates; Hylobatidae
Source: Rfam by way of RNAcentral